This 240-nucleotide unclassified non-coding RNA is filed under the name soil metagenome. Its description in RNAcentral is "partial contains 5.8S ribosomal RNA, internal transcribed spacer 2, and large subunit ribosomal RNA". The record is from RNAcentral.
AACUGAUACUACCUGCGGGAACCUGCGGAGGGAUCAUUACCGAGUUUACAACUCCCAAACCCCAAUGUGAACAUUACCUUUACUGUUGCUUCGGCGGGAUCGCCCCGGGCGCGGCCGAGAGGCCCAGCCCCGGAUCCAACGUGCGCCCGCCGGAGGACCCCAGACUCCAUGUUUCUUGCAAGGUAUUUCUGAGCUGCUCCUAGCGAGCAAAACAAAAAAUGAAUCAAAACUUUUAACAAU